GUCGGUCUUGUGAAAAAAUUACAGCAUCCAGCUGGUCGAAGUACUACUCAAUAUGGUGCAUGCUAAUUGGUACCUGCGGUGUUGGUUACGCGAUGUAUUUUAUAAUUGAUAUGUCCAAUUAUAUGAAAAUGUUAAUGAGCUUAGCCAGUUAUACAAAUACUUCAAUUAAUUCCCCAGAAUAUGAUAAAGUGCUGUUGUUUGCGUGGGUUGAUGUCUCUUUUAUAAUGUUUUUUUCCAUACUGUAUAUUUUGGCAGGGAUUUCUAUGCUGCUGGGAAUGAGAAUAAACUCAAAGAUGCUUUUUAUAUAUGGAAAAGUCCUAAGCUAUUUCUUUCCAAUAUAUACCUGGCAUUUUAUCUUAACGACAGUUGUACAUUGUGUCUGCGCAGUGAAAUUAUGCAGAUAUGUAAGAGAAACCUGGCCCAAAAUGUAAUUGGAAGAGAAUUGACCAAAUUGACAGUGUUUUAUGAAGCCUACAUAUAAUUUAAGAUAAAUUGUGUACAAAAUCAAAAGGAAAAAAUGGAUUACGGCAGUAAAAGCUGUGAUCUGAGAAUUUGAAUACUUUGUACUUUCAAACUCUAAAAUGCUAUAAUAAAUUAAUUUUCAAUAUAUUGUGUACAUUUUUGCAAUGUGAAAGUCGCGUUAUGAACAACCAGUUAUAUUCACUUUGGAUAGUAUUCGGUUUCUCUGUCAUUUUUUCAGGUUUUCCGAAUUCUAGUUCUAUUUAA
Molecule: long non-coding RNA, 726 nt
Organism: Drosophila rhopaloa
Lineage: Eukaryota; Metazoa; Arthropoda; Insecta; Diptera; Drosophilidae
Exons: 3
Source: RefSeq, a predicted model, not a curated record